Molecule: ribosomal RNA, 493 nt
Filed under: uncultured bacterium
Lineage: Bacteria
Description: partial 16S ribosomal RNA
Rfam family: Bacterial small subunit ribosomal RNA
Source: RNAcentral
AUUGAACGCUGGCGGCAUGCUUUACACAUGCAAGUCGAACGGUAACAGGUUAAGCUGACGAGUGGCGAACGGGUGAGUAAUGCAUCGGAACGUGCCCGGUCGUGGGGGAUAACGCAGCGAAAGCUGCGCUAAUACCGCAUACGAUCUAAGGAUGAAAGCGGGGGACCGUAAGGCCUCGCGCGAUCGGAGCGGCCGAUGUCAGAUCAGGUAGUUGGUGGGGUAAAGGCUCACCAAGCCAACGAUCUGUAGCUGGUCUGAGAGGACGACCAGCCACACUGGGACUGAGACACGGCCCAGACUCCUACGGGAGGCAGCAGUGGGGAAUUUUGGACAAUGGGCGAAAGCCUGAUCCAGCAAUGCCGCGUGCAGGAAGAAGGCCUUCGGGUUGUAAACUGCUUUUGUACGGGGCGAAAAGGUCUCCUCUAAUACAGGGGGCUCAUGACGGUACCGUAAGAAUAAGCACCGGCUAACUACGUGCCAGCCGCCGCAGUAA